UAGCCUUGACAUAUUAUAGAAUUCAGUAGAGAUACAGAAGUGCCUUCGGGAGCUAUAUUACAGGUGCUGCACGGCUGUCGUCAGCUCGUGUCGUGAGAUGUUGGGUUAAGUCCCGCAACGAGCGCAACCCUCGUCACUAGUUACUAACGGUUAGGCCGAGGACUCUAGUGAGACUGCCUUCGUAAGGAGGAGGAAGGUGAGGACGACGUCAAGUCAUCAUGGCCCUUACGGCUAGGGCAACACACGUGCUACAAUGGUUAGGACAAUGAGAAGCGAUACCGCGAGGUGGAGCAAAUCUAUAAACCUAAUCUCAGUUCGGAUAGCAGUCUGCAACUCGACUGCUUGAAGCUGGAAUCACUAGUAAUCGUAAAUCAGCUAUGUUACGGUGAAUACGUUCCCGGGUCU
This 405-nucleotide ribosomal RNA is filed under the name uncultured bacterium. Its description in RNAcentral is "bacterial SSU rRNA". It matches the Rfam family "Bacterial small subunit ribosomal RNA", at positions 976 to 1381 of the family's 1533-position model. The record is from RNAcentral.